UUCACUUCGACAUUAAAGAAUAUUAUGGCUAAGAUCAAGUGCAGUAUCUGUUGUUUCCAGUUUAAUAUCUGAUAUGUUCUCUAUUUGAGGACAAUAUAUUCAAUAGAUUUUUCCCAGUGUCUGUUGUUUAAAUGACAGAGGGAGAUCAGUGGGAUACUUAAAGCAA
This 166-nucleotide small nuclear RNA is filed under the name Pogona vitticeps (central bearded dragon). Its description in RNAcentral is "U2 spliceosomal RNA (ENSPVIG00000023334.1)". The stretch from base 1 to 122 matches the Rfam family "U2 spliceosomal RNA". From Rfam's summary of the family: U2 is a small nuclear RNA (snRNA) component of the spliceosome (involved in pre-mRNA splicing). The record is from RNAcentral. Lineage: Eukaryota; Metazoa; Chordata; Lepidosauria; Squamata; Agamidae.